This 344-nucleotide ribosomal RNA is filed under the name uncultured Bacteroidota bacterium. RNAcentral's name for it is "bacterial SSU rRNA". It matches the Rfam family "Bacterial small subunit ribosomal RNA", at positions 932 to 1273 of the family's 1533-position model. Lineage: Bacteria; Pseudomonadati; Bacteroidota. The record is from RNAcentral.
GUGGAGCAUGUGGUUUAAUUCGAUGAUACGCGAGGAACCUUACCUAGGCUAGAAUGUGAGUGAAUAUAUCGGAAACGGUAUAGUCCUUCGGGACACGAAACAAGGUGCUGCAUGGUUGUCGUCAGCUCGUGCCGUGAGGUGUUGGGUUAAGUCCCGCAACGAGCGCAACCCCUAUUUUCAGUUGCCAACUGACAGCGAUGUCAAGGGACUCUGGAGAGACUGCCUACGUAAGUAGAGAGGAAGGCGGGGAUGACGUCAAAUCAUCAUGGCCUUUAUGCCUAGGGCGACACACGUGCUACAAUGGCCGGUACAGAGGGUUGCGAGACAGUGAUGUUAAGCCAAUC